This 531-nucleotide ribosomal RNA is filed under the name uncultured bacterium. RNAcentral describes it as "bacterial SSU rRNA". It matches the Rfam family "Bacterial small subunit ribosomal RNA", at positions 777 to 1304 of the family's 1533-position model. The record is from RNAcentral.
AAUAGAUACCCGGGUACGUCCACGCCGUAAACGAUGAGUGCUAAGUGUUGGGGGGUUUCCGCCCCUCAGUGGCUGCAGCUAACGCAUUAAGCACUCCGCCUGGGGAGUACGGCCGCAAGGCUGAAACUCAAAAGAAUUGACGGGGGCCCGCACAAGCGGUGGAGCAUGUGGUUUAAUUCGAAGCAACGCGAAGAACCUUACCAGGUCUUGACAUCCCGCUGCCCGGUAUAGAGAUAUAUCUUUCCCUUCGGGGACAGCGGUGACAGGUGGUGCAUGGUUGUCGUCAGCUCGUGUCGUGAGAUGUUGGGUUAAGUCCCGCAACGAGCGCAACCCUUGAUCUUAGUUGCCAGCAUUUAGUUGGGCACUCUAAGGUGACUGCCGGUGACAAACCGGAGGAAGGUGGGGAUGACGUCAAAUCAUCAUGCCCCUUAUGACCUGGGCUACACACGUGCUACAAUGGAUGGUACAAAGAGCUGCAAGACCGCGAGGUUUAGCCAAUCCCAUAAAACCAUUCUCAGUUCGGAUUGCAGG